CAGAUUGGUACAUUUCUUCAUUAAAUCAUAAUAUAGCAAUAUCAUACACCAUAAUAACAUUCUCACCCUUAAUUCAGAAAUCGUCCUCUUGGGGAUAGUUCUCAGUUAAUUCAACUAAAGGAAAAAGACUGUGUCAUGUUGUUACUUACAGUGAUAGAAAUUUUGAACAAUCUAAUUUCUAUUGUUUGGGAAAUUCUUAAAUAAAAUAACUGAGUUCAUGCAGCUUCUAAGGGCUGUGAUCAUGAAGCUGAUGCAAAAAUGUAUUUGGCUCAAGUGGAGACUACUCAAAUGUUGUAGAUCAACAGUAGAGCAUUUGCCUACCAUGUGUGAAGCCUGUGAUCCCCUAGUACCUCAAAUGAAAGAAAAAGAUAAGUGUUUUCUUCUAUGAUAACAAUUACAUAAAAUAUAUAUAUCUGUAAGCCAAGAUUUAAAGCUAACAUACACUCAAAAUUAUAAAAAUUGUUGAUAAAGUCGGAUUACAAGUAAAUUUUAUUUUUCUAACUUUUCCCCCCAACUCUUUAGCAAAAGCUUUUUAUUAUGAGUCAAAGUGUGAACAAUUUUUUACAAAAAAAAAAAAAAAAAUUUUUUUUACUAUAUACAAGCUUAUUAUAUAAAAAAUCUGCCCCAAUCUGUUCAGAUUUAUCAGUUUAGAUAAUAUUGAGAAUUUCUCCCGGGUGGGCAUGGUGAUGCAUGCCUCUAAGUUAUCCCAGCAGCCUGGGAGGCUGAGGCAGGAGGAUCACAAGUUCAAAGACAACCUCGGCAAUUUAGCAAGGCCCUAAGCAACUUAGGGAGACCCUUUCUUUAAAUAAAAUACAAAAAAGGGCUGGGGAUGUGACUCAGUGGUUGAGUGCCCCUAAUUUCAAUCCCCAGUGCCAAAAACAAAAACAAUUCCAAUUAUUUUAAUGACUAUCUGGUAUAUUUUAAUCUACCCAAUUUUUUUUUUAUAACACAAGAGUCAUAAAAAUAGCGUGUUUUUCAAGCUCUUAUUGGGUAUAAAGAAACAUUCCAGUAGCUUACAUCUAUUAAAUUGUGUAGUAGGAGCUUAGUAGGUAAAAGUAAAAAUUACUGCGAGUGUUAUUCUUCCAAUUUUGUUUUGACUUAUUAUUUUUAAAAAAAUUUCAAUAGCUUACCAAUCUUGUAGCCUUAUUAGAAGCUAAUGGUGUUAUUCUCACAUAACUUGCUUUAAUGAGUCCAAAAUUGUCUUAAUGAUUACUGUUUCCUUCCAUACAAUUGUUUAUGUUUUCAGCCUUUUAUUGAUGAUUUAAAUUGUAACAUUGAAUAAAGGUCAACUAUUGUUGUUUAC
RNAcentral lists this long non-coding RNA (1303 nucleotides) under Marmota monax (woodchuck). The record is from RNAcentral. Lineage: Eukaryota; Metazoa; Chordata; Mammalia; Rodentia; Sciuridae.